Molecule: unclassified non-coding RNA, 185 nt
Organism: Calidris pygmaea (Spoon-billed sandpiper)
Lineage: Eukaryota; Metazoa; Chordata; Aves; Charadriiformes; Scolopacidae
Source: Ensembl
CUGAAAAUCUCAGCCUGAACACUGAAAUCCUGUGCUUAAAUACGAAAUGAGAAUAGCACAGGGUAUCAACAGUGCUGGCUCUCCUGCAGUGCCCUGCCAAUGUUCUUUAAUCUUGAUCGGGAAAGACCACCUGCAAGGCUAAGCUGAUAGUCUCAUUCUUCCUGUCCAUUCAUUCCUGGGUCGCU